Setaria italica (foxtail millet) is the source of this 179-nucleotide long non-coding RNA. RefSeq lists it as uncharacterized. The transcript has 3 exons. The record is from RefSeq and is a predicted model, not a curated record. NCBI's taxonomy places the organism in Eukaryota, Viridiplantae, Streptophyta, Magnoliopsida, Poales, Poaceae.
GUGUUCAUGGCAAUACUGGGGAUGUGCAUGCUCAUUGGGGAUGGCAUACUGACUCCUGCUAUUUCAGUAUUAUCAGCCAUCAAUGGACUAACAGCGCCAUUUCCUUCUGUCAGCAAGUCUGUAGUUGAAGCCCUGUCUGCUGCGAUCCUUAUCGGCUUAUUCUUGCUGCAAAAGUACCG